Long non-coding RNA from Tripterygium wilfordii, 1331 nucleotides. RefSeq lists it as uncharacterized. The record is from RefSeq and is a predicted model, not a curated record. The transcript is spliced from 4 exons. Lineage: Eukaryota; Viridiplantae; Streptophyta; Magnoliopsida; Celastrales; Celastraceae.
CUGAAUCACCUGCCUAUGUAUUUCAUGGAGAACAUCUUUCUCCUAGCUGUAUUGGACUUCAAAAUCAUAUUCCCAAUAAUUUACAUCUACAACAUUUGAGGCAAAAAUACCGGGAUGCGAGACAUAAAAGAAUUUCGAUAUUGCAUCAGAAAAGGUUGCGAUUAUUGGCUUCAGUAUCUCAUACUACUCUAUCUAAUAGUUCUGUAGAAGAAGGUCAACAUGUACAACAUGUAAGGUUACAAUACAGAAAUUCGCGAUUUCAAAGACUUUCAAUGUUGUGCCAGAAGAGGCCGCAAUUAUUGGCUUCAAAUUCUGUCCUUGGGUAUCCUGCAUCGGGUGCUGGUGUGCCAGUGUCAAUUACUCUGAUUUUUGGGCUUCAUGGUUCUACUUACAGUUUUGUACCAAGUUCUUCGAUUCUUAUCAGACCUAACACCAUAUUUGUGCAGUCAAUAAAGGUCUAUAAUUAUAAAGGAUGUCGAAAUGAAGGGCACCACUCGGUUUCAUUCGGCAGCUAUGGCGGUUGGGUUUGCCAAAACCUCAUUUACCUUGAUCGUAAUAUUUGUUACUGGUAAAUUGGGUAGGACGUCAUUGCUUUAUAUCAGCACUGUUGGAAUGAAUAUCUGCUUAUUUGGUCUGAUCCUUACUCUUUCUUCCCUGGGGAAUGGUAAACUCGGAACUCGGGGCUGGCCUGGCAAUUUUAACAGUUUGUGGCAAUGAUUCUUUCUUCUCCAAUUUUAGCAGUUUCAACAGUCAUUUUUUUUUAAUCGACACACCAAUACACGACCCACGAACCCAUUGAUACCUGGGUUCCUCAUUCAGGUUUAGUAGGUUAUUCGAUGAACCAUUGUUUCAAGUAUUGGUUGUAUAUGCAUAUUGACAAAUCAGUAGAUCACUUAUUGAUAUCCGUACCCCUUAUUGAUAUCCGUAGACCCUAAUGUACCCAUAAAAAGUAACAGGGGUGGUGUUUUGUUAGCAUUAAUGUUUGGGACAACUUGGAAUUUCGGUUGAGAAUUAAAGAGUUUACUGCCUACAAUGAAGUAAUCGAGACAGUUUGAGGUUUGACUUCAUAUGAAAUCUACAGCGUCUUGACUUUGUUAGUUAGUUUCAUAUGUUUUUAUUUUCUUAUGUUUGUUAUAGAGCUUCUCUGUUGUGAAAAAUUAGUUAGUUUCAUAUGUUCUUAUUUUCUUACGUUUGUUAUAGUCUCUGUUGUGAAAAAUAUAAUUUGUGUUAUUUUCUUAUUUUCUCAAGUUCUAAUGUUCGUUAUGGUAACAAAAUAUUAACAAAUUAUCGGUAAUCUUUAUUUCCCAAAUAAAGUUAAUGCCGCGCUUUGC